GCUGGGCGCGGUGGCGCACGCCUGUAAUCCCAGCUACUCAGGAGGCUGAGGUAGGAGAAUCGCUUGAACCCGGGAGGUGGAGGUUGCAGUGAGCCAAAAUUGUGCCACUGCACUCCACCCUGGGCGACAGAGCAAGACUCCAUCUCAA
This is a non-coding RNA of Homo sapiens (human), 148 nucleotides long. It matches the Rfam family "Metazoan signal recognition particle RNA". Rfam says of the family: The signal recognition particle (SRP) is a universally conserved ribonucleoprotein. It is involved in the co-translational targeting of proteins to membranes. The eukaryotic SRP consists of a 300-nucleotide 7S RNA and six proteins: SRPs 72, 68, 54, 19, 14, and 9. NCBI's taxonomy places the organism in Eukaryota, Metazoa, Chordata, Mammalia, Primates, Hominidae. The record is from Rfam.